UGCAGAAUCCCGUGAACCAUCGAGUCUUUGAACGCAAGUUGCGCCCGAAGCCACUAGGCCGAGGGCACGCCUGCCUGGGCGUCACAC
Molecule: ribosomal RNA, 87 nt
Filed under: Prunus serotina (black cherry)
Lineage: Eukaryota; Viridiplantae; Streptophyta; Magnoliopsida; Rosales; Rosaceae
Also listed under: 2 other names
Description: partial 5.8S ribosomal RNA
Rfam family: 5.8S ribosomal RNA
About the family: 5.8S ribosomal RNA (5.8S rRNA) is a component of the large subunit of the eukaryotic ribosome.
Source: RNAcentral